Molecule: long non-coding RNA, 1561 nt
Filed under: Capsicum annuum
Lineage: Eukaryota; Viridiplantae; Streptophyta; Magnoliopsida; Solanales; Solanaceae
Description: long non-coding RNA (CANN_LNC004177)
Source: RNAcentral
UCUUUUAUCUCUCAUCCUCUUUAGCGCACGUUAUUAGGGUGUUGCUAUAGUUCAUCUCCUCCUUCGGGAUGACAAACAAGAAUAAAUGGUAACAAGGAUGCAAAUAACGGCCCACUGAUGAACAAAGGAAUAUCAACUUUGGGGAGUCGUCAACGUAUUUGUCCAAAAUUAAAACAUGGAUUAUGCAUUGAUAUCUUGUCCGUGUGUGGUCUUGAAUUUUGAUCCCCUCUAAAUAAGUUCUAGUGUUUGCCUAUAAGGCAAAACUUGUGGUCAUCAAUUGAGCAGGUUCACUGUCUUAAAAUGUCUCCAACAUGUGUCUUAUUGGCAAGAGUUAGAACGUGUAGCUUAUGAACAACAUAUUUAAGUUCUAUCGUUUACCUAAAUGACAAAGCUUCUAAUCAGUGUGGGCAAAUUCAUUAUCUUAAAAUUUCAAGAGUCGAAACAUAUGUCUUACAGGUUAGAGUUAUUAAGCGGGGCCAUUUCUGAACUUAACCUUACCCAUCGGGAGUUAGAAGCUGGUCCAAUGGAACGCGGGCCAUGAAUGUCUUGGCCCACAAAUUGAGAUUGGUGUCAUUUUGUUCAGCAAACAGGAGAAGGUAAUUGUACAAAUGAAAUUAUAUGAGGUAUAUAAACUAUAGUAGUUAAAGAUCAUUUUCAUUGUCCCCUAAUACGAAGAUUGAUAACUAAAGGCACGUAUAAAUAAUAGUGAUAGCUAAUGAUGAUGACAGUAAGAGAUAACUGAUUGCUAUAAUGAUGAUAUAUAGUGAUGAUUAAUAAUUUUGAUUGUGAUAAUAAUUAAUAUUUGUGUGAUAACGGUGGAUGAUAAUUGUAAAUGAUGGUAACGAUUGAUUAUGCUGAUCGAUUGGGGAUCCGACGAUUGUUAUUGAAGAUGGUAACUGAGGGUGGUGAGUGGUGGUACAUAAUUAAUAAUGGUGGGCGGUGCUAGUGCAGUUGGGGUUGAAAGUGGGUGUAGUAGCUAGUAAAAAAAUUUCAUCUUUACAGAAAUCUUUGAAUGAAACACCUUAAUUAUCUUAAGUUAGUUAUUUAGAUUUUAAUUAUCGAAAUAUGAAUAAUUAAGAUUUUUAUCUUAGGCGUGGCUAAAUUUUAUCUUCUCUAAACAAAUUAGUCCCGUCUUCUCACCCGCGUAGAGACGGAAGAGAUUACACUUAUAUGAUAAAGGAUUGGUUUGGUCCAUAUAAUUCUCAUACCAUAUCUCACCCCUUAAUUCCCCUUCAUCGCCUAAUUUCUUUAAACUAUUUCCUAUUGCUUUAUUAAACUGAAUAAAAUAUUAAACUUUACAAAAAUUGCUGGUCAUUGGAUACUGGGGAGUUAGAAUUGGCAGAAGAUGAUCAGCUUAAAUAAAUUUAGGCCCCGUUUAUAUAUGUUUAUUAUAGUAUAAGAUUAGUUGGCGAUUGUUAGUGCUACGCACGAGCGCAAUAUUGAUACUUGAAAAUUUUAAGAAAUGUAUAAUUUUAUCAUUUAUACUAGCCAACUAAUAACAUAUCGGUUGGUUCGAUUCAGAUUAGUAAUUAUCAAACGGUUAACGGGCGAUGUAUUGGAU